RNAcentral lists this long non-coding RNA (15572 nucleotides) under Ananas comosus (pineapple). RNAcentral describes it as "long non-coding RNA (ACOM_LNC044781)". Lineage: Eukaryota; Viridiplantae; Streptophyta; Magnoliopsida; Poales; Bromeliaceae. The record is from RNAcentral.
AACAGGAGAUAAUAGCAACAAAACAUGUCACGCCCCGCGACCGCCCGCCUAUUUGGCCGGGUCGCGGGGCCGUAACAGACCGCCGAACGGACAGGGUUUUUACUGUACUGCGAACAGAGUCUCCCCUGUACGUUCAAGGCAUAGCAAUCAAUACAAUGUGCGAAGUUCCAACCAGGAACACAUUUCAAUCAAGAUUGCAUAAUGGAAGGUAACAAACAACAUAACACAUCUAAUGUUAUUACAUGCAUUCACAUUUAUACAUUUUUACAUCACAAUUACAUAUUACAUUUAACUUCCAAAUACAAUCAUGCUUUUAUUACAAAUUAUUGCAACUUGAUUCUUUUCAUUCUUUACAUCCCUAAGUAAAGCCGACUCAGGGUACCGCUAUCUCUGGUCUCGGUGGUAGGGCGCUAACUAUGAUGCUACGUCCUCGCCUCGCGCCGCCGCGCCGCUCACGUGUGAACCUGUAACACUCCAAAACAACGUGGGGUGAGAACUAUAAGAUAUGGAUCCCGAGGAUCUAAAAGGUAAGUAACACCUAGAGGGGGGUGAAUAGGUGUAAAAACGGCAAACUCAAAAAUCUAGAUGCAAAUAAAACUAAAUAGCGGAAAAUAAAAUAGCACACCGAGAAUUUAACGUGGGAAAACUCCAAACCGGAGUGAAAAACCCACGGGACCGAUCACGUGAAGAAAAUCUACUAAGAAAACUUGAGUACAAGUGAUUUUGACAAAAAUACACGACUCAAUUUACCGAUUUCUUGUUGAUGGUGAUCUUCGCCAGUCCUCGAUCGAUAGGAAUCCUCCAACCGAUCCUGCCGCAACUCCUUGCAGUGUCAACGCCUCAACUCCUCGAAGUGUCCGUCGAAUACUCGGCUUCAUGCGAGAUCCACGCGCCGAACCUCCUUCCGGAGCUUGUAGAAUCGAAGAUUUGUGGUAAUUUAAUCUUUGAAUCCCAUAAGCUAUGAGGGUCCGUCUUCUAAUCAAACAUCAACUUGAUUCUCGAAUAAGAUCUAGAGUAACAUCGAAGAACCAAGUCGAUUGUUGAUUUUUCGAAACUUGUUAUGUGAAUAGAAGCAUUGAAACGAAAAAACAAGUUUUUAGGGUUUAGAAUCACUAAAUAUUCAAAGCCUUAAACUUUAAGAUGACCCCCAUAGCUUAUUUAUAUGUUUAGAAGACUUAGAAGCAGACUAGGAUUGCAAAAAGUCCUUUUUAAAAACCUGUGUCGUCCUCAGAGACUGGUCCUCUCGAGGAGACCGGUCUGUGAGAGACCGGUCUCUCAAGUGAGGAACCGGUCCCUCGCUGUGUGACCAAAAUCACAACGUUCGGAAACCGGUCUCUCAAGCUUGAGACCGGUCCCUCGCUGCGCGACAGAAUUACCAAGGUUCGGGAACCGGUCUCUCAUCUCAGGGGACCGGUUGCAUCAAAACUCACGCAGUGAGGACCUUAAGGGAACUGGUCUCUUGAACUCAGGGACCGGUCCCAGAACACAGAAAAGUUCAGUAAAAUAGUUUUAAAGCAAUCUAAGCCUUCUGAACUUAUUCUAAUUAAGUACCUUCACCACAAAUGAUCUUUUCUUCAUACCUUAGGUGCCGAACUUUACGAAUGAAUCUUUGUUCUUCAAUUUGAAUCUUUUCUUCAAAAACUUUCGCGAUCAACUCUUCAAGACUCCAUUCAACAUUACGAAAUUCGCCAACCUAUAAAAUCCUUAACAAUAUCCCCCUUUGGCGAUUUCGUGACAAAAUAUACUACAAUGCUCGUACACAACUCAGAAACAAUAAAAAGAAGAUCAUCACAAUCACCAAACGAUAAUCUCCUGCAUGAUCGAUCCAAUAAACGAAAAUUACAAUUUUCAUAACCUUAAUACAGACUCUAUGACUUAGAUAUGGAGUCUUGAAGUCUUGAAUUAUUCCUGCAAAAACAUUCUUAAAACAAAAAUCAAGAUUCAAGUAUACUUAUCAAGAUCAAACAUAAAUGUCAGAAUAGUACCAAGUCAUAGUUCAUAGUCAAGCACCUAAGCAAAUAUCUACACAACUAACACAACUAACUAAAUUUACACAACUAACACAACUAACUAAAUUUACACAACUAACACAACUAAGCAAAGUGCAUCAAAUCUAAACUAAAUGCUUCAUCAUCAUCAAGAGCCAUCCAUCACAUCAUCAUAUCAUCUGCCUUUUUUUGUCAGAAAGCGCCAAAAAGAUAAAAGGAGGAACCCCGCAACAUCUAAUCUGAAGCAUCCCCUGGGGGUAAAUCUGCUCGGCAACACCCUAAUUUGUCAAAAAUCAUAUUUAGUAAACGCUUCAUCUUGCUCAUAUCCUUCCGUAUCGCAGCUUGCUCUGCAGACAGUUUCUGAAGCUCCUCAGAUAAACGUUGUUGCUCACGAUACACAGAGGAAACUGAGAUAUCUUCCUCGGAAAUGUCCAUAGAAGGACGUGAAGAAGUAGCAGUAGCAGGAGGUGGAGCAGCAAGAGGGGAAGAAGCGCGCUGAGACGGGGUACGAAGCUGCACCGAGGACUUCACAAAUGUCCUUUCAUUGAUCCGACCCAAGCUGUGCUCGUACGAUGUACAACGAACAUCCACUUCAUGAAGUCGCAGAAUCCUCAUGAUUAUCAAUGGAAAUGGCAACCUUUCAUUUUGGCCUGAAGUCUUGAUGUCCUUUGUCAUUCUCCGCCAGAUUAAAAACGGAAUAUUCAUGUUAAUAUUUUUGGCACUUACAAUAUCCGGCCUACCCAAGAGAUACAUGUACAGAAUGCGAUCCCAUCUCAAAAUUUUCGUGUUCGCGAGAGGCAUGAUGUUGUAGCAAACCACGAAGUUCAGAAACCUGUACUCCAUUUUGAAAUCUUUGGACAUAACCAUAAUGCCGUUUGAUUCAGUACCCGGCAUGCAAAUAGUGUUCACGACACGGUUCCAAUCGCGAAGUGAGUCGAACCCGGCCUGCAGAUACUCCACUCCGUCAGUCCUUGCUUCCAUCUCUAGCACAGACGCUAUAGUAUCGGGAGUGAUUGAUAACUCAACACCACGUACGGAAGUAGUGAAGACGUACGGGCCGCCGUCGGAAUCACUCAAGUGACCUGCUCUCAUAUAGAAUUCUCUAAUCAGCUCUAAACAGAAACCAGUUUGUUCCGGAAAAUCACAAAUCUGAUGAAGAUUUUCUUUUCCAAAUAAAUCCUGAAAUCCCGGCACACAGCUAAUGAUACUGGCAACUCCAACAUCGCGCUCACCAAUACAAUGCUUCGACGAGUACAUUGACCGUUGAGCAGAUGGAACAUCCUGUAGACUGUGACGCGGAGGCUCAGAACCUGGUUCUCGAAUUUCAACACCACCAGACUUGCGACGACCGGUGAAUUCAGACGCCUUUCCUUUUCCUUUGUCCUGAGCUUUGCCUUUCCCUUUUUCAAUGCCUUUUCCUUUGCCUUUUCCUUUUCUUGUAUCCUUUUCCUUAGCUAACACCUCUGAAGAAAAAGCCUCCCAGUUUGGCUCAUCCUCCUCAGAUUCGUCGCCAGGAGCAUACUCGCUCCCUUCAUCCUCCGGUUGUUGCUCAACCGGCCAUUUACUUGAAGAGCGCUGUCGUUUACUUCCUCGACCACCCCCAGCCAUAAGGACCACAAGCACAAGAAUCCACGAGUACAUUUUCGAAAAAUCACCUGUUAAACAUAAUGAAUUUUACAAAUGGAACAUAAGAACACUUAAUUUUUUUUUAUUCCAAAAAAAAUUUCAGCAAAUUGAUAUAAAAAUGCUAGAUAAUCCUAGGGGCCACAAAACAUGAGAAUCAUGAACAAUUGAAGCAACAAAAAUCAGUAAAACCACAUUAUCGGAGUGAAACUAGGUUUUGAUGAUGAAAAACUUACAAAACUUGACCAAAAAGGUGAAGAAAUACAAGAGAAUAAGAAAACAACAGAUCUAAGACCAAGAUCGAAGCACAAAAAUGCAUAUUUAGCAAGAUCUCUUGAACAUACAUCAAAAAUCUGAAACGAAACACAUUAUUGGAGUAUAUGAUAUAAAAACAACAAAAUCCGAAAAUCAUACCUAAGAUUAGUGUAAAAAGAUGAAAAGAGGGAACCAAAAUCACCUGGGGAAUAUUAGAAGCUCAGCAGAAGAGGAUGAAUGAAAUUGGUAAAGUAACAUGUGAAAGACCGCAAACCCUUAUAUCCGGUUCGGGCAGAGGGACCGGUCUCUCCUGCCUGGGACCGGUCCCAGAGCUUGAAUUACGAAAAAUUUCAAUCUAAGCUCAAAUUUUGUCUAGAAAAAUUAUAAGAUAUUCCACAAUGUUCAAUCAACAAAAAUAACCAAUUUCUAUCCCCAAAAAUUUCAAAUAAAAUUUCAUAAAUAAAUUUUCAAAAAUCAAUUUCAAGGAAAGUCAAUUUGGCAAAAUUGUUGACCCGAUAAUCAAUGAAAAUUCCUGAUACAUAUAAAAUAAAAUUCUACACAUCAUGCAAGAGCUAGGAAUUAAUUGUAUCGAUUUAUCAUCAUAUUUGUUAAAGAAAAUGUAUAAAUAAUUCUCAAAAUCGUGAAAUUAAAAUAAUAUGUUCAAAUUUAGUUAUGCACAAUGUUCGAGACAGGAGUGGCUCUUUGAGCAUCUUUUUUUUUAUUAACAUUCCACCUUAUAUCACCUUUGAGAUGUGUAGCUCUUUGAGCAUUUUUCUUUUUAGCUCUGAAAGGUAUUUUCCUUUUGUCUUAGAGAUAUACGUUAAUCAACAUUUGGUAGCUGCACACACUGACCGGACGAUUGGGGUGGUAGCUCUUUCCUCCAUGUGGUGGUAGUUUUCACACUCCCAGCAGGGAUGUAACUCUUUCCACAUCUUGAAUUUCAGAAAAUUUCAUUACCAAAAUCGGAAAGACUCUCCCUAAAUUAGUGCAACCCUCAAGUCAAAAAUAUUAUUGCAAUUUCAAAAUCAGAGAAAGAAUUAUUCAUCUUAUAACGAAUAAUCAAACAAACAAUUGCAACAUUCAAAGUUCAAAGCAUGAGGUGUUGAAUUUGAUUUAGUAUGCUAAACAGAAUUUCAACGAUUUGAUCGUUCAAAAAUUAUGACAAAAGAGAACAACCUUGAUAGUGAUCAAUCAAAAAUUAAAUAUGAAAUAAUUAAAAUCACAGACCAACUCAUCUCCCAAAACAGCAACAUUAUUCAAGAAAUCCAAUCAUCUCUCAAGCAUAAUCAGGAAAUACCGGAAACCAUGCACAAAAACAAAAUGCAACAUGCACAUGAUAUAUGGCCCAAUAGAGUAUAUCUAGAUUGAAGGAUUCAUACCAAUCGCCUUUCUUAAAUGCAGAAAAUGUUUUUGAUCCAAAGGUUUGGUUAAAAUAUCUGCAAGUUGAUUUUCAGUCGAAAUAUAUUCAAAUUGUAGGAUGUUUGAUUCAACCAGUUUUCUUAAAAAGUGAUAUCUUAGUUCAAUAUGUUUUGUUCGUGAAUGUAAAACAGGAUUUUUAGAAAUAUUUAUUGCACUUGUGUUGUCACACAGAAUAGAAAGGGGGGGUGGAAGGUAUUCGAUAGUCGCUCAGUAAACUUUUCAUCCAAAUCAAUUGAGUAGAGCAACUCCCGGCCACAAUGUAUUCAGCUUCUGCAGUGGAAAGAGCAAUACAGUUUUGUUUCUUACUGUGCCAAGCAACCAGACAGUGUCCAAUGUAGAAACAAGCUCCACUGGUACUUUUUCGAUCAUCUGCAGAGCCUGCCCAGUCAGCAUCUGAGUAGCCGAUUAGAUCAAGGGAUAUUCCCAUAAGAUACCAGAGGCCAUAUGCGGUUGUACCUUUAACGUACCGAAUGAUCCUUUUAACUGCUUUCAGAUGGACUUCCUUAGGAUUAGCUUGAUAGCGAGCACAAAUUCCAACACUAAAAGCGAUAUCUGGCCUGCUCGCAGUCAAGUACAGUAGGCUCCCAAUCAUGCUUCUGUAUUGUUUCUCAUCCACGCUCUGUCCUUCCGAAUUCACUCCAAGUCCUUUGUUACUUGUACCCAUUGGAGUGUCAAAAUCCUUUGCACUGUCCAAUCCAAAUUUCUUAACCAAAUCUUUCGCAUAUUUGGAUUGACACAAGUGAAUUCCAUCUUUAGUUUGUUUGACUUGAAGUCCAAGGAAAUAAUUAAGCUCCCCCAUCAUCGACAUCCCAAAUUCGCUUGUCAUCAAUUUAGCAAAAUCAUUGGCAUCUUUAUCUUUAGUUGCCCCAAAGACUAUGUCAUCAACAUAUAUUUGUGCCACAAUGAAAUCAUUCUUGAAGUGUUUUACAAAGAGAGUUCUAUCCGCUCCCCCUCGGUUAUAGCCCUUUUCCAAAAGAUAUUUUGUCAAGCGUUCGUACCAUGCUCGCGGAACCUGUUUUAGUCCAUAAAGUGCAUUUUUCAGUCGGAAAACGUGAUUUAGAAAUUUUGAGUCUAUAAAACCUUUCGGUUGUUCAACAUAAACUUCCUCUUUUAAAAAUUCUAUUUAGAAAAGCACUUUUAACAUCCAUUUGAAAAAGAGUGAUUUUAAAAUGGCAGGCAAUCGCGAACAAUAUACGAAUUGAUUCAAGACGGGCAACCGGGCGAAGGUUUCAUCAAAGUCUAUUCCCUUAAUUUGUGAGUACCCCUGAGCAACAAGUCUCGCUUUGUUCCGAACAAUAGUACCAUCCUCAUUUUUCUUAUUCUUAAAGAUCCAUUUGGUACCUAUGAUGUGUUGUUGCUCAGGACGAGGCACUAAUUCCCAUACAUCAUUGCGAACAAAUUGACCAAGUUCUUCUUGCAUUGCAUUUAUCCAAUAUUCAUCACGUAAAGCUUCGUCAAUAUUCUUUGGCUCAAUCAAAGAUACAUAGCACGCAAAUUCACAUUGUAGUUGACUUAUUGUUCGCACACCAACAUUAGGGUCCCGAAUUACAUUCGAUAAAGGAUGAUCUCUCGACUCUGUCAGGGGUGUAGUCUCAGGAGAUAUGCUUGGGAUUUCAGAUGAGGUGUUUUGAGGCUCAGAUGAAUCAUUUGAAGCAACAUUUUCAGAAGAUACAAUGGAAUUGUCAAGUGCAGAAACAUCAUCAUUCACAGGCAAUACAAACAGAGAAUCAUUAUCAUCAUCAUUCACCAAAGAAGUAGAAGAACCAUUCACAGAGGAGCUUACAGAAGAAGCUUCAUCUACUUUUAUAUUGAUAGAUUCUAUCACCGUCUUAGAUCGUAAAUUGUACGCACGAUAAGCACGACUUGUAGUAGAAUAACCAAGAAAAAUCCCUUCGUCACUUCGAGAGUCAAAUUUUCCAAGAUUUUCACGAUCCCGAAGGAUAAAACAUUUACUCCCGAAGACACGAAAGUAUUUAAUAUUAGGUUUCCUACCAAGCCAAAGUUCAUACGGAGUAUUCAAAGUACCCGGGCGCACAUAAAUCCGAUUGAUAACAUAGACAGCCGUGUUCACUGCUUCGGCCCAAAAGUGUAAAGCAAUUUUCUUACUAUGAAGCAUAACACGAGCCAUCUCCUGUACAACCCGAUUCUUGCGUUCAACCACUCCGUUUUGUUGGGGUGUAUAGGGGGCCGAGAAUUCAUGUUUUAUACCAUUUGAAACACAGAAAUCAACAAAUUUAGAAUUUAUGAAUUCUCCCCCUUGAUCGCUUCGAAUGCGUACAAUUUUAUCAUUUCGUUCAGUCAUAAGACGAAGACAGAUUUCAGAAAAAGAAUUAAAAGUAUCAGCUUUUUCUCGUAAGAAAGCACUCCAUACAUAGCGAGUAAAAUCAUCAACAAUAAGCAAAAUAUAACGUUUUCCACCCAAACUUUGAAUCCUAGAUGGUCCCAUCAAGUCCAUGUGAAGUAACUCUAAAGGUUUAGAAGUCCCUAAGUGGUUCAAAUUCUUAUGUGCGGAUCUAGUUUGUUUCCUCAAUUGGCAACCCCCACACACAGUGUUCUCUUUGAAGUCUAUCUUAGGUACACCUCUAACAACCUCUUUCUUUGUUAUCUUGGACAGCUCCUUAAAAUUUAUGUGACCUAGUCGUUCAUGCCAUAGAGUUUCAGUCUCUAAUGACGCUAGGUUACAAUGUUCAGUCGAAGAACUAGAAACUACAUAACAGUUAUUCUGAGAUCUAAUGUCCUUUAAGAAAAGAUUGUCAUAACGAGUCACAUGGCAUUCUUUAUCGGAAAAAUUCACAGAGUACGCAUCAUCACACAGUUGGCUUAUACUUACAAGAUUAGAUUUCAGCCCCUCAACAUAGGAAACAUCAUUCAAGGUGGGUCCAUCUGAGAUAGUCACUGUUCCUCCGGAGAUUUUGUUCAAAGAAGUAAACCAAUUUUUAUCUCCGGUCAUGUGGCGGGAACAACCACUAUCCAGAUAUCAUGAAGUAUUAUCGUAAGCAUGAAGCGAAGUGUGAAUGACUAGGCAUGGGAAGAGUUCACCUUUGCGCACCCAAACCUUACAUGUUUUGGGUUGCGUAGAUUCACUUGCUUUUGGUAAUCGUGGCUUGUCGACGAUUUGAAUUGGCUUCCUCUUCAUAUCCUCCUUCUUUGGUUUCCAUGCUUGUUUUGCCUUUGGCUUCGGAGUAUUUGGUGUCCAAGUUUGUCUCUUCUUAUAAUUUGCCUUCUUUGGAGUCCAAGUUGACUUCGUUGUCGUUUUAGGAUCAUCCUUCAUGGGUGCUGUUCAGCUCUUUCCUUUUUGGUUGCAAAAUUUCUUUAUGUGUCCUAAAACACCACAAAUAUGAUAAGUUUUGUUAGCCAAAUUGUUUUUAGGAGAGACGAACUUACCAUAAAGUUUAGGAACAGCAGUCGACGAAUUUCCAUCAACUUUCUUCGUUACUUAAUCAAUAUACGUCCGUUCAUAACCAAGUCCAAGUUUGUUUGUUUGACCAAGUCCAAGCAUCUUGUCAAGUUUACUUGAGCCAGACGAAAAUUGGUUCAAAUCCGACUUUAGUUGAAUAAUCGUCUUGGUGAAUUCCAUAUUUGCUUCUCUAGCUUCUGAGUAUUGCUUGGUGAGAAAAUUGAUGUUCUCCACCUGAGUCUCUGUUUCCUUUUCAAGUAACGAACACUUCUCAAAUAAAGAGUUGUACGCCUUGGUCAAACCAUCUCUUUCUUGCUCUAGAUCCUUUGUUAGUGAGGCAAAUUUUGAAUUUUCUUGUUCCAACUCAUGUAGACUUCACCGCAGUCUCUUGUUAUGUUUAGCCACCUUCUUUGAUUCGACAACCAAUUGUUGAUAUGCUGUGACCAUGUCAUCUUCGUCCGAUUCUUUAUCUGAUGAGUUCUCGAUAGUGACUUUCAUAGUAUUAGAUGAAUUAGAAGAGAGUCACAGCAGAAUGCUAAACCGAAUGAAGUUGAAUCUGUGCAAUCAGUGCCGUGGCAUUUACAUGCUCUUCACUUGAGGGGAAUCGGUCAGUAUGAGGAGUCGUCCAAUAAUAGUGUGCAGUCGCUUUCUUCCUUUCAAGACUUUUUAUUGAGGAAGUCAGAUGCCCAAUAUGGCAAAGCCCUACACUUGUAGCAAUAGAAUUUGACCUUCACUGCUUUUUCUCUUGGUAGAAGUCCUUUUGAAAGUUGAUCAAUUUUGAAUUUUGAUGAGGAAGAGAAGAACGACCCCGUUUAGAUUUGCUUGUCUUAGAGGAAGUAGAUUGGGGUGGGGAAAAAACCUUUGUUUCUAAAUGCGAUCGCGAACUUCUUGUUAAUAGCGCUAGCGUUGCUUUCAAACUCUCAAGGUUUGCUCCGCUACGAAUCUGAAGAAAUUGAAGUGAAUUCUUUUGUUGAUUUUAGAGCCAUCCUUGAAGAUUAGAAGAAAGACUUCGAAGAAGAACAGAUUAGAAGAAAAGUAUUUCAUAAGUUUUGAAGUGCACUACUAAUUCUUCUACCUUGAUUCAUCAGGAUGUUUGACCGUUUCAAUAGCCCGCACCUUUAGGACGAAAUCAGUUCGGGAAGGGUCCUCAAAAUUUUUCGAAAAUUUUGGAAUCGAAAUUGUUUCUCGCCAAGUUAGCACAAAGUGAUUUUACUAUGUCUUGCAAACGGAGUAUAAGUAACUCAGGUAAAAGAUUUAUGUUCUUCUUCAUACGAUGGAAUCAAUCUAUAGUAAUGGUAUUUUGCAAGUUAUUGAAUUCUUAACCAGCUUAAGUACCCUCGUGUUUAAUUGCAAAGUUGUCCCAAAUCUUUGUGCGCGUUUCACACGCGAGACGCGAGAAAAUUCAGUUUGAUUUAAAGCAUUGAAUAAAAGCAUUGAUACCUUUAGCUGAACGAGAUAGUUACGUUUUCCUCUUUCGUCCAUUUAUUUCUAGGUUUCGGACCGGUAACAUUCUCGACAACUUCGGUAGGAUGUUUCCACCCGAAUUCAAUGGCUUGCCAUACCCGCUCGUCGAUAGCAAUAAGAAACGCCCUCAUACGGACUUUCCAAUAAGCGUAAUUAGUGCCAUCGAAGAGAGGGGGUCGAUUAAUGUUACCGCCCUCGGUCAUGAAUUACAACCUAUACCCGCUCUGAUACCACUUGUAAGAUAUGGAUCCCGAGAAUCUAAAAGGUAAGUAACACCUAGAGAGGGGUGAAUAGGUGUAAAAACGGCAAACCCAAAAAUCUCGAUGCAAAUAAAACUAAAUAGCGGAAAAUAAAAUAGCACACCGAGAAUUUAACGUGGGAAAACUCCAAAUCGGAGUGAAAAACCCACGGGACCGAUCACGUGAAGAAAAUCUACUAAGAAAACUUGAGUACAAGUGAUUUUGACAAAAAUACACGACUCAAUUUAUCGAUUUCUUGUUGAUGGUGAUCUUCACCAGUCCUCGAUCGAUAGGAAUCCUCCAACCGAUCCUGCCGCAACUCCUUGCAGCGUCAACGCCUCAACUCCUCGAAGCGUCCGCCGAAUCCUCGGCUUCACGCGAGAUCCACGCGCUGAACCUCCUUCCGGAGCUUGUAGAAUCGAAGAUUUGUGGUGAUUUAAUCUUUGAAUCCCAUAAGCUAUGAGGGUCCGUCUUCUAAUCAAACAUCAACUUGAUUCUCGAAUAAGAUCUCGAGUAACAUCGAAGAACCAAGUCGAUUGUUGAUUUUUCGAAACUUGUUAUGUGAAUAGAAGACUUAAACUUUAAGAUGACCCCCAUAGCUUAUUUAUAUGUUUAGAAGACUUAGAAGUAGACUAGGAUUGCAAAAAGUCCUUUUUAAAAACCUGUGUGGUCCUCAAAGACCGGUCCUCUCGAGGAGACCGGUCUGUGAGAGACCGGUCUCUCAAGUGAGGAACCGGUCCCUCGCUGCAUGACCAAAAUCACAACAUUCGGGAACCGGUCUCUCAAGCUUGAGACCGGUCCCUCGCUGCGCGACAGAAUUACCAAGGUUCGGGAACCGGCCUCUCAUCUCAGGGGACCGGUUGCAUCAAAACUCACGCAGUGAGGACCUUAGGGGAACCGGUCUCUUGAACUCAGGGACCAGUCCCAGCACACAGAAAAGUUCAGUAAAAUAGUUUUAAAGCAAUCUAAGCCUUCUGAACUUAUUCUAAUUAAGUACCUUCACCACAAAUGAUUUUUUCUUCAUACCUUAGGUGCCGAACUUUACGAAUGAAUCUUUAUUCUUCAAUUUGAAUCUUUUCUUCAAAAACUUCCGCGAUCAACUCUUCAAGACUCCAUUCAACAUUACGAAAUUCGCCAAUCUAUAAAAUCCUUAACAAGAACCAACUCCAUGGUUCCCAGUGGGUACGGCCACCCAAGGAAAAAGCUCGACCAAUAGGUCCAAGGGAGGCAACUGCAACAAGUUAGUCCAAUAACAUAUAACAAAUAUUUAUACAUUUACUCGAUAUUGAACUACAUGUCAUGCCUCGAGAUAUGCAAUAUGAAAUCAUGCAACUAUAUAAGUAGAAUAAAUGAUUUUACUUUCUAUCAUGCUAUCCAUAACUUUUCCAUAAUUUAUACAUCUUGUCACUUUACAUCAUUCGUUAUUUGCACCUAAGAUUUUCCUCUACCUUAGCCAAGCUAACCACCCGACUCGGUCUUGAGUCAAUCAUCUGCGGAAUACCGCAUACAUCCAGGCUCGAGGUAAUGGACGUCUCAUAUACACCUCAGCCCUAAAUCAACUCAACUAGAAUACCAGAUAUAUAUAGCUCAGGAUGCUUAUUGUACAUUCACUUGGCUAUUACCCAAUUGCAUCGAGGUUCACCCAGUUCCCCUGGAACUCACAACUCAAAAUCCCUUAAUAGCGGGGGACUCGAACCUCCCUAGGGACCGUCUUCUGGGGGGACAUUACCACGCCCAGUGGUGACCAACUCCGGAGCGCACCGCCCGAGGGGGAGCUACCUCCCUCAAGCCAAGACUUAUCGUGAGUAUCGAUCAAUCCUCAACUUGAGGAUUCAUAGCCACUCGUCACAAUGCCAUUGUCAUAAUAGGUUUUCUACCUAUUUAUUUAUGCCGCUCUCUAGGCCAUUCUUGUCUCAAUGCCACUCUUGGUUAAACUAUGUUUAACAACUAUGUUCUCUAUGCGAAUCAAUGUCUCUAUUGUCAAUGUCACCUUGGUUUACUAUGUCCAAGUCCAACUCUCACAUUCACACAAUUAUAGGGUCCUAACAUACAUGUCCAUUAUGGUUCUACCAUUCUCUAUGUUCAACUAUGUUAGAACAUGUCAUUGAAAGCAACUAAGGUUCACAUGUACUUAGCACUAUCAAGUAUGAAUGAUACAAAAUAUGUAUGCUCAAAUACCAUAAGUGUUUGCUAGGUUCAUGACAAUAGGUUCACACUAUACUUGUUCAACUUAUGCUCAAGACACUAGGUUUAAUGCCACUUGAUGUCCAACCUAUGUUCUUUGACACUAGGUUCAUAUCAUCCAUGUUCAACCUAUAUCCAUGACUCUAGGUUUAAUGCCACUCGAUCUAUGUGCAUAUAUAUAUAUGUCCACAUGCCCAUAUCCUUUUCUUAACAUUAGUAUCUCUACAACAUGAUUAUCAAGUAUAUCUUAGUAUUAGCCACAUGCUUACAUUUAGCAUUUCCAUGACAUGCAUCCAACUAACAUUAACCAAUGCAUAUAUUCUAGCAUUUCUAUACCACAUCUUUAGCAUGCAUUUCCUUUAGCAUUUACUACAUGCAUCCAUCUAGCAUUUAUAUGCAUCAACAUGAAUUCAAUUUACUUAGACAUACAGGCGACCUAGUCGCUUCGGUAAGCACAACCCACCUCGAGUUGCUUUUCGAUUGCUUGUCGACACUUGCAAUCGGCCUCCGCGGCACCCAGCACCCGGUUUGGCCCGAUGUCUUGCGCGACCACCCGAACGGCCUCCAAUCCACGAUCCGAAAAUUAAAGGUCUUCGGUUAUGUGCCACGGUGCUUCAAAUCCAUUUUCAUGAGUUUACGAUAUCGCCUCGGCCCUCCAGGCGGAAACGAAGCCUAAACGUCCAUUUCUUUAAUAACUUCGCAACGGCUCGACGAAUCGCCGAACCGACUUCGCCAAUGCGUUCAUUUACCUAGCAAUUAGGUUUACAGAGAGUCAAAUGAGAUCAAACCCCCAUAUUUUACAAAACUCCAUUUUGAGCCCUAGAUUAUAACUAGGUAAAAAUCCACCAUUAAUCCUCUAGAUUCUAGCAUUUAUCCUCUAUUUAGCAUGCUAGGAUUCCAAAUAAACCAUUUUUAGAGCAUAUAAAUGAAGCUCUAAAGAUCUACCAUGAGAGCGCAUCAAAGCUUACCUCUCAAACAAGCUCCAAUGGAGAGGAAGAAGACGAUGAAGAUGAAAAUCCACCUUUAAGCUUUAAUCUUCACCAAAACCACCUCUUUUGGGAGAUAUUUAGAGAGAGAAAGGGAGGUCUCUCUCUCCCUCCAUGCAUGCGUGUGUGUGUGUGGCGCAUGUGUGUGUGUGGCUGCACGGUUGGGGGAGAAGAAGAGCAAUGCUCUUUUAUACAUUAACACCCAAAACACUAUUCACUCCAGGCAGUUUAGCAGUUCGGAACAGUCGGAGCCCUUCUGAAUGUCCGUUUGGGCUCAAAUUUGAUAGGUAGGCUCGGUUUAACGUACUGAGUAAGAAUAUAUCUUAAGUUUUCAGUUUCGACCCCGUUUGGUCACUGAAAACUGUACCGAACUGUAAUCUUUAUCAAAAAGCCAUCGGAUUUUAUUUUUCACCUUCCGGGUGUCAGAAUAACAUGAAACUUUAAAUCUAGCCUCAUAAAAAUAAGAAGGUUUAUCCUCCAGUUUACAUAAUUUUCUGACACUGUGCAUUUUCUGCUAAUUUAUCUGUCCCGUUUCCAACAGAAAAUUCUAAAUCUUCUGUUUUCAUUCCGAUUUCAGCACAAGUCACUUUUGACUUAUGUUUUACUUUUCUAAAUCCAAUAAAAAUAGUAUCUCACACUAUUUUAUUUAUUUUUUUUUAUUUUUAUACCAAAAUCUGGUAUGUUACAAAACAUUUGCAAGAGGUACACAUAGAUGAGAGAGAAAUAAAGCUAACUAUUACAUCACAUUUACAUUCAACUUUACUUCUCAUUUAUACAACAUGAUCUCACCUUUAUACACAAAAGGAUUUUACAUCACAAAUACACCAUUUCAUUACAUUCCUUUCCAAAGGGUUAAACAUUUCCUUUACUUUUCCUUUAUAUAUACUCGAGGGUAGUGAGCUAAUGCCGGUGGUCCACACUAUUUAGGGCUCGAUGCCCAAGCCGCGUCCUCGACAAAUGUGCUCGCGCUAGGCUCUGUAAAAAUAGGGUGUGAGAACUAUUGUCCAUAGUUCCCAGUGGGUUCGGCCGCCGACCCCGCCGAUUUUCCCACUAGGUCCAAGAAAGGCAUAGAAACAAUAAAGAGGUCAACAUGUCAAAGUAAUAAUAGAUAUAACAAUAAGCCUACCCUGCUCAUCUACAUCUAUAUCAUGCUCAAAUGUGUAGCUAUGCCUUUACUAAUCAUGUCAACAAGUAUAAGUUUAAGUUCUAUCAUGUAUGCAAACUAUAUAUGAAAUGCCAUGAUCAUGCCUGAAUCCAAUCAAUCGGUUCGCCCAAAGGUCGAACCACGACUCGGUCCAUACCGUCACGCCACCGUGACCGUCUGCCGGGGGCACACCAUCGUGACCACCUCCCCCGUCUCAAUCUCACUGUGAUACAACUCCGGAGCUCACGUGAAUGGGAGGCGCGACCUCCACUAAUACAACAGAGGAAUCGAGUAUGAUCUAGUCCUCCCGCCCGAGGACAUCGGGGGUCCCACACCCCAAACAAUCACAAGGCAUGGUAUGUUCAAGUCGACCACAUAUACAAUGGUUUUCAAUUUUACAAUGUCAUUGGUUCAUAUACUAGUUCCUCAUGAAUCUAGUCUAUUCCCACAUCAUAUCCUCAUGCAUAUGUCCACUAGCAACUCAAUGCAACAUGCAUAAGUACAUUUAUAUUGGCAUCAUAUAAAAGUUCUCAUGCAACAUACAUGUCCACAUCUAUCUCAACAUCAUGCAAAUAGAUAUUCCUACAAGUAUCAUGCAAUCAUGGAUCAUCAUCCCUCACACUAAGCAUGAAAUUACCACAACUCAUAGGAUUCUCACUAUUCUAUACAUGAUGAUAUAUGAUCAAUAAUAGUAGAACUUAGACAUAGAAUGAAACUCGGCUAUUUCGGAUAGCACCCCCUACCUCGUGUCAAUGCCACGAAGCGGGAAAGCCAAGCUGCGCAAUUUAUCGUCGUCGAUUUCUCCCGACUGCGGCAAACGAAGCCGAAACGGCAAUUUCUUGCAAUUGACCACCACCGGCUUAACGGAAUCUC